GGACAUGUAGCUCAAUUGGCAGAGCAUCCGCCUGAUAUGCGGAAGGUUUCAGGUUCAAGUCCUGACGUGUCCA
Molecule: transfer RNA, 73 nt
Filed under: Anaerolineales bacterium
Lineage: Bacteria; Bacillati; Chloroflexota; Anaerolineae; Anaerolineales
Description: tRNA-Ile
Rfam family: tRNA
About the family: Transfer RNA (tRNA) molecules are approximately 80 nucleotides in length. Their secondary structure includes four short double-helical elements and three loops (D, anti-codon, and T loops). Further hydrogen bonds mediate the characteristic L-shaped molecular structure. tRNAs have two regions of fundamental functional importance: the anti-codon, which is responsible for specific mRNA codon recognition, and the 3' end, to which the tRNAs corresponding amino acid is attached (by aminoacyl-tRNA synthetases). tRNAs cope with the degeneracy of the genetic code in two manners: having more than one tRNA (with a specific anti-codon) for a particular amino acid; and 'wobble' base-pairing, i.e. permitting non-standard base-pairing at the 3rd anti-codon position.
Source: RNAcentral